Long non-coding RNA from Oryzias melastigma (Indian medaka), 625 nucleotides. RefSeq lists it as uncharacterized. Lineage: Eukaryota; Metazoa; Chordata; Actinopteri; Beloniformes; Adrianichthyidae. The record is from RefSeq and is a predicted model, not a curated record. The transcript is spliced from 2 exons.
AUGUUCCUGUCAUCCUGCAGUCCCCCAUCCUGCAGUUCCACUCUGGCUACCAGGCCUCAGAGGUGGCACCGGUCGUACGAAAACUACAUUUGAUGCUCCAAGCUCCGGCGGACGAUAAACUCCGAGCUGUCAGGAACAAAUACAGCCACAAGGUGUUUUUUGAAGUUGCGACCGUGCCACUGGUGGACAUCAGCGUUUUGGACAAGGCCUUAUCCUCCUAACAAAAUGCUAUAAAAAUAUUUAACACUCCCUUCACAAAAAAACAAUGUACAUAGUUUUUAAUGUCCUUGAUAUUUAUAAGUAGUCAAGUUUCUUCCAUUUUUGUAAAAUAGCUUUCAUUAAAAUGGGCAUUUAUCAUUAAGAAAUUGUUUUUUUUUUUAUGUUUGGCUUUUUUAAUAGUUUUAUAAGCAUGUUCUAAAAAGAUAUACUUCAAUUCUUUAUUCUUUCCUAAUAAAUGUUGUGCCGGCCCGUGUUUUUAUGUUUUAACAUGAUCUUAGAGUUUGUAGCGUUGCGUGUUUCAGACGUUGUACAGUUUAUCAUGUUUAUUUGUGUAAAAGACAAAUUGAUGCUUUGCUACUUUUUUUUUAAAGGGUAUCACACAUAAAAUAAAGAAAUAAAUCUUUUA